Molecule: ribosomal RNA, 520 nt
Filed under: uncultured bacterium
Lineage: Bacteria
Description: partial 16S ribosomal RNA
Rfam family: Bacterial small subunit ribosomal RNA
Source: RNAcentral
GACGAACGCUGGCGGCGUGCCUAAUACAUGCAAGUCGAACGCACUCUCGUUUAGAUUGAAGGAGUUUGCUCCUGAUUGAUAAGCAUUUGAGUGAGUGGCGGACGGGUGAGUAACACGUGGGUAACCUGCCCUAAAGUGGGGGAUAACAUUUGGAAACAGAUGCUAAUACCGCAUAAAACCUAACACCGCAUGGUGUAGGGUUGAAAGAUGGUUUCGGCUAUCACUUUAGGAUGGACCCGCGGUGCAUUAGUUAGUUGGUGAGGUAAAGGCUCACCAAGACCGUGAUGCAUAGCCGACCUGAGAGGGUAAUCGGCCACACUGGGACUGAGACACGGCCCAGACUCCUACGGGAGGCAGCAGUAGGGAAUCUUCCACAAUGGACGAAAGUCUGAUGGAGCAACGCCGCGUGAGUGAAGAAGGUUUUCGGAUCGUAAAACUCUGUUGUUGGAGAAGAAUGUAUCUGAUAGUAACUGAUCAGGUAGUGACGGUAUCCAACCAGAAAGCCACGGCUAACUACGUG